This 139-nucleotide small RNA is filed under the name Numidum massiliense. RNAcentral's name for it is "ydaO/yuaA leader". It matches the Rfam family "c-di-AMP riboswitch aptamer (ydaO/yuaA leader)", at positions 11 to 130 of the family's 134-position model. From Rfam's summary of the family: This family represents a conserved RNA structure found upstream of the ydaO and yuaA genes in Bacillus subtilis and related genes in other bacteria. The ydaO/yuaA element is thought to act as a genetic "off" switch for the ydaO and yuaA genes in its native state. It is believed that the element may be triggered during osmotic shock leading to activation of ydaO, a predicted amino acid transporter gene, and members of the yuaA-yubG operon which code for KtrA and KtrB K+ transporters. The record is from RNAcentral. Lineage: Bacteria; Bacillati; Bacillota; Bacilli; Caryophanales; Bacillaceae.
UGAAACGCUUAAUUUCCUAUUUGGAGAACGGGGGAUCCAACGGAGCGCCGACCGCUCCAGGGGUGAAGCUCGCAAACGUGAGCCGGGAAACUCUCAGUCCCGAACCCGUCAGCUAACCCCGUCAGCGUACCCGAGAGGU